AGUCAAUAGAUACCCAGGUAGUCCACGCCGUAAACGAUGAAUACUAGGUGUAGGAGGUAUCGACUCCUUCUGUGCCGCAGUUAACACAAUAAGUAUUCCGCCUGGGGAGUACGGUCGCAAGAUUAAAACUCAAAGGAAUUGACGGGGGCCCGCACAAGCAGCGGAGCAUGUGGUUUAAUUCGAAGCAAGGCGAAGAACCUUACCCAGACUUGACAUCUCCUGAAUUAAUCGUAAUUGAUGAAAUCCCUUCGGGGACAGGAAGACAGGUGGUGCAUGGUUGUCGUCAGCUCGUGUCGUGAGAUGUUGGGUUAAGUCCCGCAACGAGCGCAACCCUUAUCAUUAGUUGCUAACAUUAAGUUGAGCACUCUAGUGAGACUGCCCGGGUUAACCGGGAGGAAGGUGGGGAUGACGUCAAAUCAUCAUGCCCCUUAUGUCUGGGGCUACACACGUGCUACAAUGGUGGGAACAAAGAGAUGCAAGACCGCGAGGUGGAGCCAAACUCAAAAACCCAUCCCAGUUCGGAUUGUAGGCUGAAACUCGCC
This 542-nucleotide ribosomal RNA is filed under the name uncultured bacterium. Its description in RNAcentral is "bacterial SSU rRNA". It matches the Rfam family "Bacterial small subunit ribosomal RNA", at positions 775 to 1316 of the family's 1533-position model. The record is from RNAcentral.